Molecule: ribosomal RNA, 426 nt
Filed under: uncultured bacterium
Lineage: Bacteria
Description: bacterial SSU rRNA
Rfam family: Bacterial small subunit ribosomal RNA
Source: RNAcentral
CUAAGAAUAUUCCGCAAUGGACGGAAGUCUGACGGAGCGACGCCGCGUGGAUGACGAAGGCCGAAAGGUUGUAAAGUUCUUUUGCUGGGGAAGAAUAACCGCAGGAGGGAAUGCCUGUGGGAUGACAAGAACCGGCGAAUAAGCCCCGGCCAACUACGUGCCAGCAGCCGCGGUAACACGUAGGGGGCGAGCGUUGUUCGGAAUUACUGGGCGUAAAGGGCAUGUAGGCGGCUUGGAAAGCCUGGCGUGAAAGUCUGCAGCUUAACUGCAGGGGUGCGCUGGGAACUGCUGAGCUUGAGUGACGGAGAGGGAGCUGGAAUUCCUGGUUUAGGGGUGAAAUCUGUAGAUAUCAGGAAGAACACCGAUGGUGAAGGCAAGCUCCUGGCCGAUGACUGACGCUGAGGUGCGAAAGUGUGGGGAUCAAAC